This 933-nucleotide ribosomal RNA is filed under the name uncultured Chloroflexota bacterium. Its description in RNAcentral is "bacterial SSU rRNA". It matches the Rfam family "Bacterial small subunit ribosomal RNA", at positions 376 to 1339 of the family's 1533-position model. The record is from RNAcentral. Lineage: Bacteria; Bacillati; Chloroflexota.
CGAAAGCUAGACGCAGCAACGCCGCGUGGGUGAUGAAGGCCUUCGGGUCGUAAAACCCUUUUCUGGGGGAAGAGUAAGGACGGUACCCCAGGAAUAAGCCUCGGCUAACUAUGUGCCAGCAGCCGCGGUAAUACAUAGGAGGCAAGCGUUAUCCGGAUUUACUGGGCGUAAAGAGCGUUGAGGCGGCUUCGUAAGUUGGACGUGAAAGCUCCCGGCUUAACUGGGAGAGGCCGUUCAAUACUGCGGGGCUUGAGGACAGCAGAGGGGGGUGGAAUUUCCGGUGUAGUGGUGAAAUGCGUAGAUAUCGGAAGGAACACCAGUGGCGAAGGCGGCCCCCUGGGCUGCUCCUGACGCUGAAGGCGAAAGCUAGGGUAGCGAACGGGAUUAGAAACCCCGGUAGUCCUAGCCGUAAACGAUGGAUACUAGGUGUAGGAGGUUAAAAUUCCUUCUGUGCCGGAGCUAACGCGUUAAGUAUCCCGCCUGGGGAGUACGGUCGCAAGGCUAAAACUCAAAGUAAUUGACGGGGGCCCGCACAAGCAGCGGAGCGUGUGGUUUAAUUCGAUGCAACGCGAAGAACCUUACCAGGGCUUGACAUGUAGGUAGUGGUGAAGCGAAAGCGGAACGAUCCUUCGGGAAGCCUACACAGGUGCUGCAUGGCUGUCGUCAGCUCGUGCCGUGAGGUGUUAGGUUAAGUCCUGUAACGAGCGCAACCCCUGCCGUUAGUUACAAGUGUCUAACGGGACUGCCCGGCAAAACUGGGAGGAAGGUGGGGAUGACGUCAAGUCAGCAUGGCCUUUAUGUCCUGGGCUACACACACGCUACAAUGGCCGGUACAAUGGGUUGCCAAGCCGCGAGGCGGAGCCAAUCCUCUAAAGCCGGUCUCAGUUCGGAUUGUAGGCUGCAACCCGCCUGCAUGAAGUUGGAGUUGCUAGU